AAGAUCAUACUUCACAGGAUCAUUUCUGUAGUAUAUCUUCGGAUCUGCUAUGCGAAAAGCUGAGCUGAUGCAGCCACGUUGAUGAGACAUAGCUCUCUUCCUUGAGCGUGAGGCCGAUCUUUAUAAUCUGAUUUAAUAGUUAGAUUGUAAGGUCAUCGAUGAUCGUUCACCUCUUUUACUUAGUAAGGGAGGUCAUGGGAAGUAGAGCUUUCUGAGUGGU
Molecule: small nucleolar RNA, 220 nt
Organism: Vespa velutina
Lineage: Eukaryota; Metazoa; Arthropoda; Insecta; Hymenoptera; Vespidae
Product: small nucleolar RNA U3
Exons: 1
Source: RefSeq, a predicted model, not a curated record